UGGGGAAUCUUGCGCUAAUGCGCGAAAGCGUGACGCAGCGACGCCGCGUGGGGGAUGAAGGCCCUCGGGUUGUAAACCCCUUUCGGCAGGGACGAAGCGAUUGUGACGGUACCUGCAGAAGAAGCCUCGGCUAACUACGUGCCAGCAGCCGCGGUAAGACGUAGGAGGCGAGCGUUGUCCGGAUUCAUUGGGCGUAAAGAGCGCGCAGGCGGCUUGGUAAGUCGGAUGUGAAAACCCAGGGCUCAACCCUGGACGUGCAUCCGAUACUGCCCGGCUAGAGGUAGGUAGGGGAGAUCGGAAUUCCUGGUGUAGCGGUGAAAUGCGCAGAUAUCAGGAGGAACACCGGUGGCGAAGGCGGAUCUCUGGGCCUUACCUGACGCUCAGGCGCGAAAGCUAGGGGAGCGAACAGG
RNAcentral lists this ribosomal RNA (410 nucleotides) under uncultured bacterium. RNAcentral describes it as "bacterial SSU rRNA". It matches the Rfam family "Bacterial small subunit ribosomal RNA", at positions 355 to 776 of the family's 1533-position model. The record is from RNAcentral.